GGGGGGAUCCCAUUGACUUCAAGAGGAAUGGAGCAAUCAGUGCACUUUCCUCAUGGGACAUUUGAAGAGGAGUGGAACCAGCAGAAAAAGAAAAAAAAAACAGAACCAAAAAGCCUUUUGGGCUUUUCUCUCAAAGCCUAAACCUUUUAUUAGUGAAAAGAGAUUUAAGACCAGAGACAAUGACUUGAAGAAAUGGAAAGAUGUCAUUUGUUUCAUUCGAUUUAGGGUUUGGUACCCUGGAGAAGGAAGGAGAAUAUGAACAGCAAGGUAGGGAAAGGAGAGAGGGAGAGAGAACAGAUUUUUGAUCCUGGAGCAGCAGAGAUGAACCUUAUUUCCCAGUAGCACCACUGGGAGAAAUCACAAAAUCCCAGGGAGGAAAGACUGUGUGAUGCUGCUAGGAAGAUGGGACCACAGGACUCUUACUUUCCAAGCAUUACAAAGAAGCAUGGAGAGGGAGUGGAUGAAAAGGAGCCAUGUGGACAGGGACAAUGGAUGUAUCAGUGGCCACCUUUGUGUAGAACCAUGACCGAGCAUCAAAUGCAGCCACUCUGGAUGUAAAAGACAAGGUGUGCCUGACCCCAGCAAGGAGUGAAGUUAAAUUUUUUCUAUAGAUCAGAGGAUAGAGAGCAGGCAGUCAGAUAAAGUCAAACUGAAAAUAAAGAAGGAAUAUUUAUUACACAUCUGAGCUUAAAGUUUGAAAUGUGUACCUAUGAUGAAUAGAAAAAGAAUUGGCCUUGGGGAAGGCCAAUGUGAAGACAGUGGCCUGCAUUUGGCGAAUGGAGAGAACUUUCCUGUACCCAAGACAGCAUGGCUGGCUGGUCAUUGAAAGGCAAACCCUUACUUAUCUAUUUGGGUUGUUCUACUCACUGUCCCUAUCAGGAUGGUGGAAGUUACUGAAAGUUGAGGUCUAGGUUAAUAAAGCAAGAACCCUGAUAGAGUUACUGCCUCAAUGAAAGGGGGUUUAGACAAAUUAUACCCAUCAGCCCUGGGAAACAAAUUGGGGAAUUUGUCACUUGGCAGGGCUCUGGGUUGGAAAAUUACAAAAUCACUUCAUCCAUGAGAAAGUGAAAUGCCGAGUCUGCACCUCAUGUAAUGUUAAAAAUCAAAUUUGCACUACUGAUUCCUGGAUUUCUAAUGAGAAAUUCACCUUAGAAGCUUGUUCUCUACUGGUAAAACCCCCAAGGUUCCCGGAAGAUACAAAUGCAAAAUUACUCUGUAAUAACAUUACCAUAACCUUAGG
This is a long non-coding RNA of Bos taurus (domestic cattle), 1240 nucleotides long. The record is from Ensembl. Lineage: Eukaryota; Metazoa; Chordata; Mammalia; Artiodactyla; Bovidae.